Molecule: long non-coding RNA, 1832 nt
Organism: Oncorhynchus tshawytscha (Chinook salmon)
Lineage: Eukaryota; Metazoa; Chordata; Actinopteri; Salmoniformes; Salmonidae
Source: Ensembl
UAAACAUCUGGACUGGCGCAGCAGUAGAAUGGUAGCAGUAGUCAAGCAAAUCUUGUGGAAAAUAAUGAAAUUAGAUCCCUGGUGCUGUGUGACAGUCGCAGGGCAGGAGACAUCAGCUCCAUGUUAAUAAAAUUGGCAUGAAUGACUGAAUGCAAUUAAGAAAUUGUCAGUGGUGGCUAUGAACUUUUGUCACUGGUGGAUGUUUGCAUCGUUUGAUUAUGGUGUCAAUUUAAACGUGUUUAUUCGUGUCUGCAUUAGAGUAUUCAUUAUGACCUUUUGUGAUUGGCCGCGAUUAAGCUAGUCACUUAGAAGUAAAGUGACGAUGUCAGAUGGGUGGAGUGAUGUUUGUGUGUGUGUGUGUGUUUUUAGUUUUGUCUUUAUUUCUUUGUGUGUGACUGAGCCAUGUGACAUGGUGUGACCAGAGUAGUGAGGAUCUUCUAGCCUGUAUUUAUACCCAGCAUGGAGCUAAAGGUAGACACAGACUAUUUCUCUGCUUUAUUAGACUGCUAUAGAGCUUCUGUUGUCUCUGACUCCCUACUGUAGUACACACACUACACAUCCACAUAGGCUUUUAUACAUUCUCAAUUACCUAAUAUUUCCUUUACUCUUGUGUCUUGAAAAUAAAGUUAGACACUUUUUCUAAAUAAAACGAAAGGAGGUGUCAUGAUUGCCAGGUUUAUUCUCCAUAGUUAUAUUGUCGGUUUAGAUGGUUGGAUUUUCAAUCCUUUCCUUGCUUGGUUUAGGUAUUAGUACUCUGAAAGCGGACCUUUCAAAAAAUAUGAACCUGUACCUCUCUCUGUCUCACUCCACACCUCUGUUUAUCGUAUCACCCCACACAGUGGCGGGAGGAGAGGAUUAUAUUUCAGGGAAUGAUUUGUCAGUUUAGGAGGUAAUAAUGGAUUUGGGCUGAGAGCUAAACAAACAGAACUCUCUCACUGAUCAAGAGAGGCGAUAAGAGGAGAGGAGGGGAGAGAGAGAAGGGAGAGAGGAGAGGAGAGGAAAGAGAGGAAAGAGAGGUGAGAAGAGUAGAGAGAAGAGAGAGGAGAGGAGAGGUGAGGAGAGUAGAGAGUAGAGAGAGGAGCGGAGCGGAGAGGUGAGGAGAGGUGAGGAGAGUAGAGAGAAGAGAGAGGAGAGAGGAGCGGAGAGGAGAGUAGAGAGUAGAGAGAAGAGAGAGGAGCGGAGAGGAGCGGAGAGGAGAGGUGAGGAGAGUAGAGAGAGGAGCGGAGAGGUGAGGAGAGUAGAGAGAAGAGAGAGGAGCGGAGAGGAGAGGAGAGGUGAGGAGAGUAGAGAGAAGAGAGAGGAGCGGAGAGGAGAGGAGAGGAGAGUAGAGAGAGGAGCGGAGAGGAGAGUAGAGAGAAGAGAGAGGAGCGGAGAGGAGAGGUGAGGAGAGUAGAGAGAGGAGCGGAGAGGAGAGUAGAGAGAAGAGAGAGGAGCGGAGAGGAGAGUAGAGAGUACAGAGAAGAGAGAGGAGCGGAGAGGAGAGGUGAGGAGAGUAGAGAGAAGAGAGAGGAGCGGAGAGGAGAGGUGAGGAGAGUAGAGAGAGGAGCGGAGAGGAGAGUAGAGAGAAGAGAGAGGAGAGGAGAGGUGAGGAGAGGAGAGGAGAGUAGAGAGUACAGAGAAGAGAGAGGAGAGGUGAGGAGAGUAGAGAGUACAGAGAAGAGAGAGGAGAGGUGAGGAGAGGUGAGGAGAGUAGAGAGUACAGAGAAGAGAGAGGAGAGGUGAGGAGAGUAGAGAGUACAGAGAAGAGAGAGGAGAGGAGAGUAGAGAGUAGAGAGAGGAGAGAGGAGCGGAGAGGAGAGGUGAGGAGAGUAGAGAGUAGAGAGAGGAGCGGA